RNAcentral lists this ribosomal RNA (497 nucleotides) under uncultured bacterium. RNAcentral describes it as "partial 16S ribosomal RNA". It matches the Rfam family "Bacterial small subunit ribosomal RNA", at positions 28 to 507 of the family's 1533-position model. The record is from RNAcentral.
GAUGAACGCUGGCGGCGUGCCUAAUACAUGCAAGUCGAGCGAACAGACGAGGAGCUUGCUCCUCUGACGUUAGCGGCGGACGGGUGAGUAACAUGUGGAUAACCUACCUAUAAGACUGGGAAAACUUCGGGAAACCGGAGCUAAUACCGGAUAAUAUAUUGAACCGCAUGGUUCAAUAGUGAAAGACGGUUUUGCUGUCACUUAUAGAUGGAUCCGCGCCGCAUUAGCUAGUUGGUAAGGUAACGGCUUACCAAGGCAACGAUGCGUAGCCGACCUGAGAGGGUGAUAGGCCACACUGGAACGGGAACACGGUCCAGACUCCUACGGGAGGCAGCAGUAGGGAAUCUUCCGCAAUGGGCGAAAGCCUGACGGAGCAACGCCGCGUGAGUGAUGAAGGUCUUCGGAUCGUAAAACUCUGUUAUUAGGGAGAAACAAAUGUGUAAGUAACUAUGCACGUCUUGACGGUACCUAAUCAGAAAGCCACGGCUAACUACGUG